AAUGUGAGCUCUACAGCCUCAGGCAUCUUGGAACAGGAUCAUGGUCCUUUGUGAUUACGCUGGACUCACCUGGGUAAUCCAGUAUCCACUUCAAAAUUCUUCAACACAUCUACAACCUUUUGACAUGGAAGCACCCAGAGAUGCUCUCCUGAGGCCCAGACCACCACGGCCAGUCAUGGGGGAGGAGUGGCGUUGGCGAUUCAGGACUGCUUUUUCCCUCUUCAGUGCCUCUCUCAACAACAUGAAGAGUUCUGCAGCCAAAAGCCAGAGAGAGUCUUGCCUUUCGCGAUGCCAAAUUAAGAAGAUGAAUGCAUAGCUCACUCAGAGAAACAAACCUUAUGAAGACAGUCUUCGCUACAGGGGCUUACUCAUCAUGCAAUACCUCCUCUUGGCUGUGGACAUUUUGAUGAAACAUUGAAAUUAGAGUCAACCAACCUAAAUAUCUGUAACAACAUCUGGAAAGGUGUAUAAUUCAGAAUUGCAUGAAGACAACAAAAGAUUGGUGAACUUGCUAUAGUCUACACUUAGGACUGGCAAUUCUGUGUGUGCUCCUGUAACCCCAGCCACAUGUAACUCCAUGCCUGGAGAGUUUUCUGGAAUCUGGGUGUAUCUUCUCUGGAGUAUUCAACUUGUCUCUUGAACGCCAUACAUGGCAAUUUUGUAUGCUGAAUUGUUUCCCCCCCUCCCCAAAUUCAUAAGUUGACGUCUGAGCCCUCAUUAUUUCAGAAUAUAACUGCAUUUUGGAGAUAAGGUUUAUAAAGAGAUAAUUAAGUUAAAAUGAGGUCCUAAUCCAAUCUGACUAGCAUCCUUCAGAGAAGAAGAAGAAAUUCUAGGGGUUUGAGUGCACAAAGAGUCAACAAUGUGAAGAGGUGUCAAGAGGGCAGCCAUCCGCAAGUCAGAGAGAGAAACCUUACGAGAAACCAACCUGCCAGCGCCUUCAUUUUGGACUCGCUUCUUCAGAAAUGUGAGAAAAUAAACUUUGUUGAUUAAGCCAACUAGUCUGUAGUACUUUGUUAUGGCAACCCUAGCAAGCUAUUCCAACAGCAAAGAACAUUAGUCCUGGAUAUUUCAAGUGCACCAAAUGGCCAACUUUGUAAUCAAGAUAAGAUAUCACAAGGGUCCUGCACUUUCACCUUCCUCAUCCAAAAACCCUCAACCUUGGUGCCCAGUCACUCUCCACCAACGCCCUCCUUCUCAUUUUGUUUGGUUUUGCCUCAUGGCUUGUCAGUCAUCCUCUGUACCAUGGAUUUUGGUGAUGAUAGGGGCCCAGUAGCUUUAGAUUCUGAGCAUUGAAAAGAAACAAGUUCUAUAUGGGCUGGUCUCCAGGCACACUGUCUAAAGGGUAAUCAAACAUUUUCCAUGAAAUGUAGCCACCCUCUUGCCAUCAGAUCUUGUAUGUAUUGUUGUACAGAAUAUGUUUUAUCAGUUCUUCAAUGUGAUUUGCCAUGAUAAAACAACCCCUUCUUACUAUUUGAACUUUGAUAUGCAACAUACUCCAAGAGGAGGUUAAAUUUCGUGAACUGGUUGUGAGGAGGGUUAGGAAACUCAUCCUACCAUACUCACAGUACUAUAGAGGCAAAUGUGGCAUAAAAUUAUAUCCUUAUAACUGCUUCUACCAGAUUUAUGAAAUUACUCUACAGUUUCUGGUUUCUUCUUACUAAGGUGCUAGUGAUAACCAGUGAUGAAGGUAAGCCUCUGCUUAGUCCCACCUAAAUUCCUUCUCAUCUGAUUUCUGUUUUCCCAUGUUGUUCUUUUCCCUUUGAGGAAUGAAAAUUUCUCUGUGCCUGGAUCCUUACUUCUUAAUCUCUGUUUAUACAGUUCUCCAAAAUGUAUGCAAUAACAUUUAGCAAUAAAUGUCUAUAAGCUCUUUUCAUCUUGCAAAAACUUGGCUGCCUACAAAUUUAUCACCCUGGAAAUGACACCUGCCUGUUCUAUCAAGUUGGAAAUGCUGCUCACCAACCUGAGCACUUGUGCCCUUUUCUCCAAACAGC
RNAcentral lists this long non-coding RNA (1991 nucleotides) under Papio anubis (olive baboon). Its description in RNAcentral is "lncRNA (ENSPANG00000041793.1)". Lineage: Eukaryota; Metazoa; Chordata; Mammalia; Primates; Cercopithecidae. The record is from RNAcentral.